UUGGAGGGCAAGUCUGGUGCCAGCAGCCGCGGUAAUUCCAGCUCCAAUAGCGUAUAUUAAAGUUGCUGCAGUUAAAAAGCUCGUAGUUGAAUUUCGGGACCAUCAUGUCGGUCGUGCCUCGGUACGUACUGGCAUUGUUGGUUUCUCCCUUCUGACGAACCAUGAUGUCAUUUAUUUGGUGUCGUGGGAAAUCAGGACUGUUACUUUGAAAAAAUUAGAGUGUUUAAAGCAGGCUCGCGCUUGAAUACAUUAGCAUGGAAUAAUGAAAUAGGACGUUUAAUUCUAUUUUGUUGGUUUCUAGGAUUGACGUAAUGAUUAAUAGGGAUAGUUGGGGGCAUUAGUAUUCAAUUGUCAGAGGUGAAAUUCUUGGAUUUAUUGAAGACUAACUACUGCGAAAGCAUUUGCCAAGGAUGUUUUCAUUAAUCAAGAACGAAAGUUAGGGGAUCGAAGACGAUCAGAUACCGUCGUAGUCUUAACCAUAAACUAUGCCGACUAGGGAUCGGAUGAUGUUAAUUUUUUAAUGACUCAUUCGGCGCCUUACGGGAAACCAAAGUGUUUGGGUUC
RNAcentral lists this ribosomal RNA (564 nucleotides) under uncultured Glomeromycotina. RNAcentral describes it as "SSU rRNA". It matches the Rfam family "Eukaryotic small subunit ribosomal RNA", at positions 548 to 1114 of the family's 1831-position model. The record is from RNAcentral. Lineage: Eukaryota; Fungi; Glomeromycota.